CGCUAGCUACAGGCUUAACACAUGCAAGUCGAGGGUUAGCAUUUCAGUUUGCUUGCAAACUGGAGAUGGCGACCGGCGCACGGGUGAGUAACACGUAUCCAACCUGCCGAUAACUCGGGGAUAGCCUUUCGAAAGAAAGAUUAAUACCCGAUGGCAUAAUUAGACCGCAUGGUCUUAUUAUUAAAGAAUUUCGGUUAUCGAUGGGGAUGCGUUCCAUUAGGCAGUUGGUGAGGUAACGGCUCACCAAACCUUCGAUGGAUAGGGGUUCUGAGAGGAAGGUCCCCCACAUUGGAACUGAGACACGGUCCAAACUCCUACGGGAGGCAGCAGUGAGGAAUAUUGGUCAAUGGGCGCAGGCCUGAACCAGCCAAGUAGCGUGAAGGAUGACUGCCCUAUGGGUUGUAAACUUCUUUUAUAUGGGAAUAAAGUUUUCCACGUGUGGAAUUUUGUAUGUACCAUAUGAAUAAGGAUCGGCUAACUCCGUGCCAGCAGCCGCGGUAAUACGGAGGAUCCGAGCGUUAUCCGGAUUUAUUGGGUUUAAAGGGAGCGUAGGUGGACAGUUAAGUCAGUUGUGAAAGUUUGCGGCUCAACCGUAAAAUUGCAGUUGAUACUGGCUGUCUUGAGUACAGUAGAGGUGGGCGGAAUUCGUGGUGUAGCGGUGAAAUGCUUAGAUAUCACGAAGAACUCCGAUUGCGAAGGCAGCUCACUGGACUGCAACUGACACUGAUGCUCGAAAGUGUGGGUAUCAAACAGGAUUAGAUACCCUGGUAGUCCACACAGUAAACGAUGAAUACUCGCUGUUUGCGAUAUACAGUAAGCGGCCAAGCGAAAGCAUUAAGUAUUCCACCUGGGGAGUACGCCGGCAACGGUGAAACUCAAAGGAAUUGACGGGGGCCCGCACAAGCGGAGGAACAUGUGGUUUAAUUCGAUGAUACGCGAGGAACCUUACCCGGGCUUAAAUUGCAUUUGAAUAUAUUGGAAACAGUAUAGCCGUAAGGCAAAUGUGAAGGUGCUGCAUGGUUGUCGUCAGCUCGUGCCGUGAGGUGUCGGCUUAAGUGCCAUAACGAGCGCAACCCUUAUCUUUAGUUACUAACAGGUCAUGCUGAGGACUCUAGAGAGACUGCCGUCGUAAGAUGUGAGGAAGGUGGGGAUGACGUCAAAUCAGCACGGCCCUUACGUCCGGGGCUACACACGUGUUACAAUGGGGGGUACAGAAGGCAGCUACCUGGUGACAGGAUGCUAAUCCCAAAAGCCUCUCUCAGUUCGGAUCGAAGUCUGCAACCCGACUUCGUGAAGCUGGAUUCGCUAGUAAUCGCGCAUCAGCCAUGGCGCGGUGAAUACGUUCCCGGGCCUUGUACACACCGCCCGUCAAGCCAUGAAAGCCGGGGGUAAAUGAAGUACGUAACCGCAAGGAGCGUCCUAGGGUAAAACUGA
This 1434-nucleotide ribosomal RNA is filed under the name uncultured organism. RNAcentral describes it as "SSU rRNA". It matches the Rfam family "Bacterial small subunit ribosomal RNA". The record is from RNAcentral.